UGGGGAAUAUUGCACAAUGGGGGAAACCCUGAUGCAGCAACGCCGCGUGAAGGAUGACGGUUUUCGGAUUGUAAACUUCUUUUCUUAGUGACGAAGACAGUGACGGUAGCUAAGGAAUAAGCAUCGGCUAACUACGUGCCAGCAGCCGCGGUAAUACGUAGGAUGCAAGCGUUAUCCGGAUUUACUGGGUGUAAAGGGAGCGCAGGCGGGACUGCAAGUUGGAUGUGAAAUACCGUGGCUUAACCACGGAACUGCAUCCAAAACUGUAGUUCUUGAGUGAAGUAGAGGCAAGCGGAAUUCCGAGUGUAGCGGUGAAAUGCGUAGAUAUUCGGAGGAACACCAGUGGCGAAGGCGGCUUGCUGGGCUUUAACUGACGCUGAGGCUCGAAAGUGUGGGGAGC
This 400-nucleotide ribosomal RNA is filed under the name uncultured bacterium. Its description in RNAcentral is "bacterial SSU rRNA". It matches the Rfam family "Bacterial small subunit ribosomal RNA", at positions 355 to 769 of the family's 1533-position model. The record is from RNAcentral.